GGCGCCGUACCCCAGCGGGAAGGGAGAGGUCUGCAAAACCUUUAUGCGACGGUUCGAUUCCGCCCGGCGCCU
RNAcentral lists this transfer RNA (72 nucleotides) under Treponema sp. RNAcentral describes it as "tRNA-Cys". It matches the Rfam family "tRNA". Rfam says of the family: Transfer RNA (tRNA) molecules are approximately 80 nucleotides in length. Their secondary structure includes four short double-helical elements and three loops (D, anti-codon, and T loops). The record is from RNAcentral. Lineage: Bacteria; Pseudomonadati; Spirochaetota; Spirochaetia; Treponematales; Treponemataceae.